Molecule: ribosomal RNA, 230 nt
Filed under: uncultured bacterium
Lineage: Bacteria
Description: partial 16S ribosomal RNA
Rfam family: Bacterial small subunit ribosomal RNA
Source: RNAcentral
AAAGCGUGCGCAGGCGGUUAUAUAAGACAGAUGUGAAAUCCCCGGGCUCAACCUGGGAACUGCAUUUGUGACUGUAUAGCUGGAGUGCGGCAGAGGGGGAUGGAAUUCCGCGUGUAGCAGUGAAAUGCGUAGAUAUGUGGAGGAACACCGAUGGCGAAGGCAGCCCCCUGGGUCAAAACUGACGCUCAUGCACGAAAGCGUGGGGAGCAAACAGGAUUAGAUACCCUGGU